UACGUAGGCAGCGAGCGUUGUUCGGAAUUACUGGGCGUAAAGAGUGUGUAGGCGGUGCUCCCAGUCUGUUGUGAAAUCUCCCGGCUUAACUGGGAGGGUGCAGCGGAAACUAGAGUGCUAGAGGGUGGGAGAGGUAAGCGGAAUUCCUGGUGUAGCGGUGAAAUGCGUAGAUAUCAGGAGGAACAUCAGUGGCGAAGGCGGCCCUCUGGACCAGCACUGACGCUGAGGCACGAAAGCGUGGGGAGCAAACAGG
RNAcentral lists this ribosomal RNA (253 nucleotides) under uncultured bacterium. RNAcentral describes it as "partial 16S ribosomal RNA". It matches the Rfam family "Bacterial small subunit ribosomal RNA", at positions 524 to 776 of the family's 1533-position model. The record is from RNAcentral.